GCAGAAAACACAAGAAAAACACAAAUAGAAUUAGAAGUUCGUGCUAUACAAAACAGCUGGCUGCGGCUGCUUUGGUCCUUAGCGUAAAACCAACUUAUAAAUAUUGUACAGACAGGCUGAUGACAAGGACGAGUUCACAUGAAUUCAACCAGAUAAUUAAUGGGGCCCACCUCUCACACACGAAUAAUUUUUCUUCAAUGAAAAUCGCUUAACAUGGGAAGCUUCCAGGCAUCAUAAAUGGUCAACAACGAAUAGAAAGAAUAAAUAGAUCAUCAACUCAAUUAGGCAUGCCUUUUUGAAUCUCAAGCACCGACCCUUAACUGUGUUUGAUUGAUGAUGUUCUUCAGGGCUCUCCGCCGCUGCGCCUCUUUCUUGGAUUUUUUGAAACCAAGAAGUAUAUUUUCUUGUUAACCCUACCUAUUCUAGCUGCUGACAUAUUCAAGAUCAAGUUUUUUCUUAUUUUUUCUUGUGUACUACAACCAUACCAGUACAUGAAGAUUAAAGAUCAUAGUUUUUGCUCUUAGAUCUGUCAGAUUGAGGUUAGAAUUGGUGAGCACAGAGAUUAUGAAUUUCAUGUCUGGUAGGCCAGGAUUUUAUGAAGACGAAGAAGAAGAAGAAGGGAGCUCAGAAGGUGUGAAUCCUUCAUCACACUACUCUUUCUUCCCCUCUUCUUCUGAGCAAAAAGGUGUUGUUCCUUACACCUACCACCGGCAAGAAGGUGAGCUCAUGGUGGACUCUUCGCCCAACAAUAAUGGAGAUGGGGAGGAGACUAAUGACUCCGGUGAUCACGUUAUUCGUCCGCGAGGAGGAGAAGGAGAAGGAAGUAGGAUGGCUGCUAACUCCAUCUUUAUCGAGAGGGAGCACAUGUUUGACAAGGUAGUGACACCAAGUGAUGUGGGCAAGCUCAAUCGAUUAGUCAUUCCUAAACAAUACGCAGAAAGGUAUUUCCCCUUGGAUUCAUCCACGAAUGAGAAAGGACUUCUGUUGAAUUUCGAGGAUAGAAAUGGGAAGCCAUGGAGAUUCAGAUACUCCUACUGGAACAGCAGCCAAAGCUAUGUAAUGACCAAAGGAUGGAGCCGCUUUGUUAAAGAGAAGAAGCUUGAUGCAGGUGACACGGUCUCUUUUCAGCGUGGGGUCGGCGAGUUGGGAAAGGAUCGAUUAUUCAUUGAUUGGAGGCGCCGUCCAGAUGUGCUUGCGCUUUCUCCUCCUAUUCCUCCUCUCUCAGUUCCACAUCAAUUCUCUUUCCAGAGGACUCUUCACCCGUGGAAUCCUCCAUAUUUUCAGUCACAAGGGCCACCAUUGACCAGGGAUUAUUCACACUUGAUGCAACCCAAUAAUACUUAUGGAUAUGGUAACGGACCUUAUGUUUGCAGUAGUAAUGUUAUAACCGGAAACCCUUGUUCGGCAGGCUCAAUAGUCUAUGUUAGAUCAGCUGCCGGAGCUGGAGCCGAAGCUGGAACUGGAGCAUUAGCUCCACGUCAGCUCAGAACGGCACAGAUGCAAAGGGUAGGUGGGGUUGGGGUUGAGCAAAUGGUAUUUGACUCGGUGCCGGUGGUCCAAGGCAAGGCUGCAGCAAAGCGACUCAGGCUGUUUGGUGUGAACAUGGAGUGUCCCAUUUCAGAGUCAGAUGAAUGUGAUAUAUUGUCUUCCACAACUGUAACUCAUUCAACAAUGGAACUUCAGCCUCCCCCUUUUGAUUCUUCUUCAUUUCCUAAUUCAUUUUCUUUCCAGUCAAGGCCCCAAACUAUGCCCUCGGACCUGCUCAACAAAGGCAAGGGUUCCAUGUCUUUGGAUUUAGACAUCUGAACUAAAGAAUUCUUCUCUAAUUCAAAAGAGGUAAGGUCCUGCAGAAGAGGCAUAAAUCUUGAUCAAUAUUGCUCAACUUCAUCGUCAGUAGCAUUCGAAGAUAAUGCCACAGAAUCAGAAAACCUUCAUCAGAGAUUCAGAUGAAAAAUAAUUUCCAAAUUACUAGUGAUUGAGUUUCAGUCUGUGUAUAAAGUCAUAAUUAAUACUACAUAGAUAGAUCAUAGAUACAUUUAUGUAGAUCCUUCACGCCCAUUAUUUUAUGCUUUCCUUAUGUAGGGCCUGGAUCCUCAAGAUGUAUCCAUGCCAUAUUUACUAUUGAGAGUUACUUUUUCUAAAUUCUUGUAUUCAACUUUGGAUCAUCAUCUGAUAUUUAACUCUCUUCUCCAAUUUUCCCUCUAUACAUAUUGUGUUGGUUAACAUAAUGUACGUGUAGAGAAUUGAACGACUUCAUCUUUUCUCCCUUCUGUUUUUAUUACCUUUUGGUAGGUUGUUAUUGUUGUCUUCGAUGGCAAUGGAGGCAGGUGCAGUAGCAGAAUUGUUGCAGAACUUUAAAAGGUACAUCAACUAGCUUAAUUUGCUCACAUUCAUUAAUAAUUCCUGCAAGCAUCUUUCCAUCUCUUCUUUAUUACUUUCUGUUCCUUUUUUUCCACAAUUGUUGGUUAUAUAUAAUAAAUUCUUUCUUUCACUGCCCUUGUUUCAUCAAAUUUGCAAUAGGCCUGUGAUUCCUCCAUUUAAAAGGUGAUCUAGCUUAGUAGACCUGGGAUGGUCACAUUGAUUCUUUUUACUAAUAAUGUACUAAUCAUAAAGUAAACGAAUGAAGGUAUUUCUACACAUGCUUGCUUGCUUUCUUCUUGAUUAAUGUGGACACUGAUUCAAUUUCUUCAACAAAUCUUGAACCUAAAUUGCACAAUGGUUAGUUCCUGGGUCCUUCACGUGGUUUUCAUUUGCAUUAGCAAGUCAUAUUAAAUGCAUAAAAUGGAAGAGAAAUCACAUAAUUUGACAGGUUCCAUUUUCACAUUCAAAUUAUAUAGCUUCUUGUAUUUACAAUAUAGAAACGCUAUAAAUACUGUUUGUGAUGCCGAUCAUGCCAUGGUUCUUGUUCUGUACAAUUUUAGUUCUCAUUGUCACACAUGAAAAUGAAUUCGUCAAGAAAGUUUGUUUUUAUGCACCAAAUUUAUCCAUGUGAAAUUCUGAUAGGCACUUCAAGUGUCACCAAGCUGUCUUCCUUCCAUUCCGAGCUUCAAGUGGUUUGUUAUUGCGUACUACUUUGGUUGGGCUUUCGUAGAUCAAGUAUAUGCAUGGUCGAAUGUAAAACUUCAACUGAAUAAGUUUUGUGCAUGUUAUUCGUAUAGCAUGGACUUGGUCUUGUCUACCAUACCUUGAUUAUGCUUCUAGAAGUUAAUUUGGUUUUGGAGAUUAUUAAGGGAUCAAUCCCACCUCGAAUAAAGAUGAAAAUAUAGGAAUUAGGCUACCCCUCUUAAUAAAAUUGAUAUUUUAAGAUGGAAUCCUAAAUCUUUACAGAGAUUGACUCUGAGUUGUGCAUCAAACCAUUUAUCUUCAGUGAACUUGAUUGGGGAAAAAUUCAUAGCUGAAACCCCCUUUUUUAUGCAGUGUUAGUAAUCAAUAAAUAGGAAAAUACCCAUUAUUUUCAUAGGAGCAUCUCCAAAGGAUCACACAUGUCUGUAUGCACCAAUUUAAGCACUUCCUUUCCUCUUCAAGAUCCUUCUUUUCAAAAAAGAUUGUUUGUGAUACUUUCCACGAGCACAUCCUUCACUAAUGUCAGAAGAUCUUUUACUUUGAGCAAGCCAUGAACCAUGUUCUUCAGUUGAAAUGAUUUUAGUCUAUGAAUAUUUAUAUGCUCAGGUCUUCUAUACAUCAAAUUAAGAAUACUGAUGAACAUUAAUUCUCAAUGCAAUGUUUUCAAAAUGCUCGACUGUGAGUGGAAAUCUUUUGAUUCCCCCAUUUUUUUUUUCAGAUAUCACCAGCGUCGAUUCAUUUUUGACAAUUUUUGCAACUGUUAGCUUCAAUUCACUGCAUAUCCAACAAGUUUUGAUGUGUUCAAUCAAGAAAAAUUAGUUAAUCAUUUUCUUUAUAUGGACUCCAAUUAUUUCUCUUCUUUUCCGUUCAUUAUAAAUCCAUUUCCCAUCUUAAUAGGUAUAGAUAGUGGAGUAUCUCUCAAUGAUAUUAAAUUUCUCGUUUAUUGCUACAUAUUGUCAAGAUACCAAAAGGUCAUUCAUUUAUUCAAUGGAACUUGAAGAUAGCAGAAAGGAAAUUCUCGUUACCUUCAUUUUGUUUCACAAAUUGUGUUAAUGACUAUUUUCACUCUAUAAUACUAAUUAAGGUUAAAUUUUCCACCUUUGUGCCAAGAUUCUGCAUCUACAUAAGUUUUCUUCCCACAAUUAAUCUUGCAAACUUGUACAUUGAGCUUUUACGUCUCUCAAAUAGUGUUUUUUUUCUCUUAUUCUUCCGAUAAUCUAUCCCCUACUAUGAUCUUCCCUUUCUUAAUGUUUUCAUUACACGAAAAUCCAUCGACCCCACAAUUUAGUUUACAUUCAAAGACAAUCUAUCAAUUCUCUUUCUAUGACAUGACUUAAUGUAGUACUGCCAAUUCUAUUCAACCAUAGCAUCAGAAUUUUGGUUAUGUUUUCACCAAAUAUCUCAUCUGGUUCAAGAUAUCUAGUUUGAGUACUAGUACUCUAUAAUAGUUUUACUUCCUUAUUCUCAAAUUCAUAAAUAUGUUUUAACACCUUGAAGAUUUCCACUUUUCAUCUUGAAAUUUUCUUGAAACUGACGUGCUUUCUUGCUAGUUGUAGUGUAGUACUCAUGACCAAUGAAAAAGGAUUGGGGACAUGACUUAUUUGAUGCACGAGCGAGACUGUGGAAUUUAUGGUCCAGCCUUGGAGUCGCUGUAAGGUUUGGUUCUUUGAAAAAUUAGAUUCAAAACUGUCUAUAUAAUAGACCAAGGGUCAAUAUUCUCUAGAAGAUAUUAAAAUUUGUAGAACCCUAAUUUCCUGCUUCAAAAUUGCCAUUGCUGAGCAACCUGAUGUAAGCAAUGUGUUGAAAUGAAGGCAGCUUAAUAUUAGUGAACAUGCUGCCAUAGAAACUGAUUGAGAGAAAAUUGAAGCUAAAAGUUAAGUGAAUUUAUUGCAGAGAAGGAAGAAUUUAAAGAAGAUUGAGCAGCCUAUUUUUUCAGAUUUUUCUCACCAUUUUUAAUCUAAUUGUGACAAGCUCAAACCAGUAUUUGUGUACAUUAAGGUUGUUUUUGUACAUGGAAUUAAGUUGUAGAAAGAAAGUGUAAAAUUAUUAGAUAUAUUAUGGAGA
This 5127-nucleotide long non-coding RNA is filed under the name Olea europaea subsp. europaea. Lineage: Eukaryota; Viridiplantae; Streptophyta; Magnoliopsida; Lamiales; Oleaceae. The record is from RNAcentral.